AUUCUUUAAAAUGUAAAUACACUCAACUAAUCUGGAUAUAUUUAAGUGAGACUCUACAAUAUUAUUUGACACAAAUCUAUCUAAAUCAAAAUUUUAAUAAUUUUUUCUCCAAACAUUUACUGGACUGAUUUAAUUAUUAAAAUCACUCCUUUCUAAUCCUCUGCUGUAUGUUCAAACCUGAGGUCUUAAAUAGAAACACACAAGUAUCUGAUUGAAGGAGCUUCUGCAGAGUCCUGGUUCCAGAACAUGAUGAUAGAAUUAUAGACAAACUUUAACAAAAGCUGCCUGAGAGUUUACAGGUUUUUAUGUUGGAUUUCUUUAGUAAUUUAAUGAGUUAUCAGCAAAAAUCAAGUGUUCAUUUGACGAACUUCAUUUCCUAAAGCAUCCAGAAUUGGAGCUCAUAUCUUUGGCAGCUGUAAAGUUUCUGCUCCUUCAAAGUUCACAACACAAUGAAUGAAUUCCUAAAACACUCUCAAUGCUGGAGAGCGUUUGUGAUGCUGAAGCAGUGAUCAGUUUUUCUAUUUCUUCUCUGGAGAUGCACAAUGAGGGACGUCUGCAGAGACUGAGAAAGAGUCUCACCACAUCCUGACAUGAGGAAAAAGACUUUAUUGAAGACUACAAUGAGAAAAACUAUCAGACAGCAGACGGCUGCAUUCAAGUCUGUAGCUGCUGAAUUCAUGGAUGAAUCAUCUGGCACUAGAGAAGAAGACCAUCAAACAUCCACGUCAGCUGAUAGAGGUCCAAGAGUCUCACCAAACAACCAACCUACAGAGUGAAGACCUCCAAUCUGAUUGGACGGCCUCCUACUCAGCCACAUGUG
This is a long non-coding RNA of Amphiprion ocellaris (clown anemonefish), 820 nucleotides long. RefSeq lists it as uncharacterized. The record is from RefSeq and is a predicted model, not a curated record. The transcript is spliced from 2 exons. Lineage: Eukaryota; Metazoa; Chordata; Actinopteri; Pomacentridae.